Long non-coding RNA from Lactuca sativa (garden lettuce), 1132 nucleotides. RefSeq lists it as uncharacterized. Lineage: Eukaryota; Viridiplantae; Streptophyta; Magnoliopsida; Asterales; Asteraceae. The record is from RefSeq and is a predicted model, not a curated record.
GAAACCCUUUUCUGAAAUAUUAACGAGUCCACGUCUAUGAGAAGUUCCCCACCGACCGCUCUCAUGCCUCCGUCACGUGUAGCUAAGCUGUCUCUUUGUGUGCUUAAACUCAUUUCCGCCCAAAAUAGCAUUGACGACACACUGGGAUUGAAGAAACGGCGUCGUUUGGCUGCUAAUGAAUGAUGCCUUGGUGCUUGCUUCCGGUCAGCCUGACAUCACCAUGAGGAAGAAGACUUGGUGGUGGGUUUUCCUUAUUGGCGGUGGUGUUUCUUCCGAUGUUGCUUGCCACUGUUGGACCCCUUUAAUUGACACCUCUCCUUCUUUGCAAUGACUCUCUCAAAAUAAGGUAAUACCGACCUAACUUCAGUAUUAAAGGAGUGCAGUUCAUUUGCGUAGUAGAUUCUUCUUGGCACUCCUGGAUUCCCAUUAAACACCACUUCACCUUCAUUGUGGUCGACUCAGCCUCUUGACUUUCUCUUCAUGCCGACUCCAUGGUUGUUAUGUAUUUAAGAUGAGCUUCAAUUUAAUCGUUUCCUUACUCCUCAAGGAUCUGUCCUUUCUUCAUUCUUUCUUCAUGGGUUGAAAGCAAAAGGGGGAUACUGCCUCGUAUGUUACUAAAAAGGUUUUGCAGCAGAGUCAACUCAGGGGUUGUUGGUGACAAUCAAUUAUAUGGGUAUUACGCAUCAUCUUUAUAGUGGAAGAUUGGAGCAGGCCGCACUUGACAUAUUCGAUUGAAGGUGAGGUUGAUUCUGCAUCCUACUUUUUUCUUCUCCAACAUGGAUUAGUUGAAGGUUGAUGUUACAAAGAAUUUGAUUAAAGGUUUCCGAUUUGUGAUUAGUGUUCAUGGGGGCAGCAAGCUGAUUCUACUGGGAAUGGGCUCAAACGAACCUUCCACCACCUGGUCCCAUACCAAUGCUAUCAAUGAACACCAAUUGGAAAUGAGCAAGAUGGUUUUAGUAAAGAAGAGGUAAUAGUAAAUGGCUAAUCACAAGAAAUAGCAAUAUACUGUCAUUUACAUCAUUCAAAUAGCAGCUUACUUUCAUUUCUUUCAAUUACAAUAACGCAUUUACUUUCAAACUUCCUUCUACAAUGCUUUAAUCACAAGGAAUAACUGAAUAACCAGUUGCUUUCA